RNAcentral lists this microRNA (22 nucleotides) under Monodelphis domestica (gray short-tailed opossum). Its description in RNAcentral is "mdo-miR-7359a-3p". Lineage: Eukaryota; Metazoa; Chordata; Mammalia; Didelphimorphia; Didelphidae. The record is from miRBase by way of RNAcentral.
UCAUAGCCUUUCACAUUCUUAG